GAGGGUAGAGCUCAAUAGGAGAGUGAGUGCUUAGCAUGCACAAGGUCCUGGGUUCAAUCCCCAGGACCUCA
This 71-nucleotide transfer RNA is filed under the name Camelus ferus (Wild Bactrian camel). It matches the Rfam family "tRNA". From Rfam's summary of the family: Transfer RNA (tRNA) molecules are approximately 80 nucleotides in length. Their secondary structure includes four short double-helical elements and three loops (D, anti-codon, and T loops). Further hydrogen bonds mediate the characteristic L-shaped molecular structure. tRNAs have two regions of fundamental functional importance: the anti-codon, which is responsible for specific mRNA codon recognition, and the 3' end, to which the tRNAs corresponding amino acid is attached (by aminoacyl-tRNA synthetases). tRNAs cope with the degeneracy of the genetic code in two manners: having more than one tRNA (with a specific anti-codon) for a particular amino acid; and 'wobble' base-pairing, i.e. permitting non-standard base-pairing at the 3rd anti-codon position. The record is from Rfam by way of RNAcentral. Lineage: Eukaryota; Metazoa; Chordata; Mammalia; Artiodactyla; Camelidae.